UAGCUGUCUCAGGCCCUGGCCAGGUGGA
RNAcentral lists this non-coding RNA (28 nucleotides) under Rattus norvegicus (Norway rat). Lineage: Eukaryota; Metazoa; Chordata; Mammalia; Rodentia; Muridae. The record is from RNAcentral.